RNAcentral lists this ribosomal RNA (499 nucleotides) under uncultured bacterium. RNAcentral describes it as "bacterial SSU rRNA". It matches the Rfam family "Bacterial small subunit ribosomal RNA", at positions 30 to 514 of the family's 1533-position model. The record is from RNAcentral.
AUUGAACGCUGGCGGCAUGCCUUACACAUGCAAGUCGAACGGUAACAGGUCUUCGGAUGCUGACGAGUGGCGAACGGGUGAGUAAUACAUCGGAACGUGCCCGAUCGUGGGGGAUAACGCAGCGAAAGCUGUGCUAAUACCGCAUACGAUCUACGGAUGAAAGCGGGGGACUCGCAAGACCUCGCGCGGACGGAGCGGCCGAUGGCAGAUUAGGUAGUUGGUGGGAUAAAAGCUUACCAAGCCGACGAUCUGUAGCUGGUCUGAGAGGACGACCAGCCACACUGGGACUGAGACACGGCCCAGACUCCUACGGGAGGCAGCAGUGGGGAAUUUUGGACAAUGGGCGCAAGCCUGAUCCAGCCAUGCCGCGUGCAGGAUGAAGGCCGUUCGGGUUGUAAACUGUCGUUUUGGUACGGAACGAAAAGCUCUCUCUAAUACGAGGGGUAGAAGUAGACGGUACCGUAAGAAGUAAGCACCGGCUAACGUACGUCGCCAGCAC